Molecule: ribosomal RNA, 464 nt
Filed under: Vreelandella stevensii
Lineage: Bacteria; Pseudomonadati; Pseudomonadota; Gammaproteobacteria; Oceanospirillales; Halomonadaceae
Description: partial 16S ribosomal RNA
Rfam family: Bacterial small subunit ribosomal RNA
Source: RNAcentral
CCUACGGGGGCAGCAGUGGGGAAUAUUGGACAAUGGGCGAAAGCCUGAUCCAGCCAUGCCGCGUGUGUGAAGAAGGCCUUCGGGUUGUAAAGCACUUUCAGUGGGGAAGAAAGCCUUGGGGCUAAUACCCUCGAGGAAGGACAUCACCCACAGAAGAAGCACCGGCUAACUCCGUGCCAGCAGCCGCGGUAAUACGGAGGGUGCGAGCGUUAAUCGGAAUUACUGGGCGUAAAGCGCGCGUAGGCGGUCUGAUAAGCCGGUUGUGAAAGCCCCGGGCUCAACCUGGGAACGGCAUCCGGAACUGUCAGGCUAGAGUGCAGGAGAGGAAGGUAGAAUUCGCGGUGUAGCGGUGAAAUGCGUAGAGAUCGGGAGGAAUACCAGUGGCGAAGGCGGCCUUCUGGACUGACACUGACGCUGAGGUGCGAAAGCGUGGGUAGCAAACAGGAUUAGAUACCCGAGUAGUC